UAAUAAUAUGCACGUUUUUAUGCACGUAUUCAUAGAUCUAACAUACAAUGUUACAACAUUCGAUGUUGUUUUGCGAUUCCGUAAAAGAGAAAAAAUUAAUCAUUUAAGUACGGCAGACUCGUACGCUUCGUAAUAGUCCAUUUAAAACUAGCUUUCUAUCUCGUUUAGAGAUACGAAUCGAAAGGGGAAGAAGGGUAGAGAAGAGAACGCACGUCCACAUCCUUUGCGGUUGACUACCGAAGGGGAAUACCAGAGGCGUAAUUUGUAUGCGUGGAGAUGUGCUCGCUAUUUACAUAUGUAUAAAUGUCGCGUUAACGUAUCUCGGUCUCCUUAUUUUGCGAGCAUCAUCAUCGUUCGGGGCUUUUUUCGUUCUUUCUCUAUCGCGUCAUUCUCCUCUCGCGUCUUUCUCCUUCCCCUUCCUCUUACUUUACCUCUUUUUCUUUAUAUAUAAACGAGGAGAAAAAAAGGCAAGGGAAGGAAAGAGAUACCUAAAUGUGUUCUGUGUUUCGGUGAAAUAAAUAUAAUUAUUUUAUGUUAUUAAUAUCAUUUUAUACAAAUUCGCUAUGCUACUUACAUUUCUCGCUUAAUUCGACGGUUCCAGUUAGCUCGAUUUUAACGAAAUACCCUGUCUGAUAUUUAUCAUUUCGCUCGUUGUUUAUUUUUCUUUCUCUUUGCUACUUAAUAAAAUGAGAUUUAUAUAAAAGGCACGUUCCGAAUUUGAGAUACUUUGUGCUGUACGUAAACUUGAGAUCACAGAGAUUGAUAUUUGAUAUAUUAAGAUAUCUAAUUUUUUUUUCUCUUUUUUUCUUUCGAUAAUCACUUAUUAUUUGGCACGAUUAAUCGAUACUGAGAUUAUUAACGACUCUUAGAAUGAAAAUAUUGUGAUGAACGACACGAAGAUUGUUAGAGCUUUUUCAAGCACGAUACUAUAUGAAAUUAAAAGAAGAAGAAGAAGAAGAAGAAAAAGUUGGAAAUAUUAAAACGACGGUGGAACAAUCGGUAGAAUAAUUAUCACAGCGUUGUAUCGAGAUUAAUGAUUUAUCGACGAGUACGAUACGAUGAUAUCUAUAAAUACAUGAAAAUCUUAAAGGAAUUGUCCAGAUCGAGAAAUAGACCGAACGAAACGUUUCCUUCGCAGUAAUAUCAGUAGUAUAUCGUGCAAGUCAGAAUCGUUGGAAAAUAAUACAACUGACUUAAACAUGAAGGUGAUAUAUUAAAUGGAAAUCAGACAACAACAAAAAAA
Molecule: long non-coding RNA, 1243 nt
Organism: Vespula pensylvanica (western yellowjacket)
Lineage: Eukaryota; Metazoa; Arthropoda; Insecta; Hymenoptera; Vespidae
Exons: 2
Source: RefSeq, a predicted model, not a curated record